This 716-nucleotide ribosomal RNA is filed under the name uncultured bacterium. RNAcentral's name for it is "bacterial SSU rRNA". It matches the Rfam family "Bacterial small subunit ribosomal RNA", at positions 151 to 882 of the family's 1533-position model. The record is from RNAcentral.
CCGAAAGGUGUACUAAUACCGCAUAAGACCACGGAAUCACAUGGUUCUGAGGUAAAAGAUUUAUCGGUUUGGGGUGGGCUCGCGUCCGAUUAGGUAGUUGGUGAGGUAACGGCCCACCAAGCCGACGAUCGGUAGCCGACCUGAGAGGGUGAUCGGCCACAUUGGGACUGAGACACGGCCCAAACUCCUACGGGAGGCAGCAGUGGGGAAUAUUGGGCAAUGGAGGGAACUCUGACCCAGCAACGCCGCGUGGAGGAAGAAGGUUUUCGGAUCGUAAACUCCUGUCCUUGGAGACGAGUAGAAGACGGUAUCCAAGGAGGAAGCCCCGGCUAACUACGUGCCAGCAGCCGCGGUAAUACGUAGGGGGCAAGCGUUGUCCGGAAUAAUUGGGCGUAAAGGGCGCGUAGGCGGCUCGGUAAGUCUGGAGUGAAAGUCCUGCUUUUAAGGUGGGAAUUGCUUUGGAUACUGUCGGGCUUGAGUGCAGGAGAGGUUAGUGGAAUUCCCAGUGUAGCGGUGAAAUGCGUAGAGAUUGGGAGGAACACCAGUGGCGAAGGCGACUAACUGGACUGUAACUGACGCUGAGGCGCGAAAGUGUGGGGAGCAAACAGGAUUAGAUACCCUGGUAGUCCACACUGUAAACGAUGAAUGCUAGGUGUAGGGGGUAUCGACCCCUUCUGUGCCGCAGUCAACACAAUAAGCAUUCCGCCUGGGGAGUA